CAAGUCGAACGCGAAAGUCCCGCAAGGGAUCAGUAGAGUGGCAAACGGGUGAGUAACACGUGGGUGACCUGCCUUCGAGCGGGGGAUAACGUUCCGAAAGGGACGCUAAUACCGCAUAACAUCCUGCUUUUCAAGAAGCGGAGAUCAAAGCUGGGGAUCGCAAGACCUAGCACUCGAAGAGGGGCCCGCGUCCGAUUAGCUAGUUGGUGAGGUAACGGCUCACCAAGGCAACGAUCGGUAGCCGGCCUGAGAGGGCGGACGGCCACACUGGGACUGAGACACGGCCCAGACUCCUACGGGAGGCAGCAGUGGGGAAUUGUUCGCAAUGGGCGCAAGCCUGACGACGCAACGCCGCGUGGAGGAUGAAGAUCUUCGGGUCGUAAACUCCUUUCGAUCGAGACGAAUUCCUCCGGGGUGAACAAUCCUGGGGGUUGACGGUACCGAGAGAAGAAGCCCCGGCUAACUCCGUGCCAGCAGCCGCGGUAAUACGGGGGGGGCAAGCGUUGUUCGGAAUUACUGGGCGUAAAGGGCUCGUAGGCGGCCAACUAAGUCAGACGUGAAAUCCCUCGGCUUAACCGGGGAACUGCGUCUGAUACUGGAUGGCUUGAGUUUGGGAGAGGGAUGCGGAAUUCCAGGUGUAGCGGUGAAAUGCGUAGAUAUCUGGAGGAACACUGGUGGCGAAGGCGGCAUCCUGGACCAACACUGACGCUGAGGAGCGAAAGCCAGGGGAGCAAACGGGAUUAGAUACCCCGGUAGUCCUGGCCCUAAACGAUGAAUGCUUGGUGUGGCGGGUAUCGAUCCCUGCCGUGC
RNAcentral lists this ribosomal RNA (810 nucleotides) under uncultured Bacillota bacterium. RNAcentral's name for it is "bacterial SSU rRNA". It matches the Rfam family "Bacterial small subunit ribosomal RNA", at positions 58 to 846 of the family's 1533-position model. Lineage: Bacteria; Bacillati; Bacillota. The record is from RNAcentral.